This 67-nucleotide transfer RNA is filed under the name Cardiocephaloides medioconiger. RNAcentral's name for it is "tRNA-Leu". Lineage: Eukaryota; Metazoa; Platyhelminthes; Trematoda; Diplostomida; Strigeidae. The record is from RNAcentral.
GUACAGGUGCCAGAAAUUUAUGGGUCAGUUUCAAGAGCUGAGUAUGAGUAAUAAUCCUCCUUGUAUA